RNAcentral lists this ribosomal RNA (312 nucleotides) under Triticum aestivum (bread wheat). RNAcentral describes it as "partial small subunit ribosomal RNA". The record is from RNAcentral. Lineage: Eukaryota; Viridiplantae; Streptophyta; Magnoliopsida; Poales; Poaceae.
AUGGUUCGAGAGGAGGUAGCAGGAUCCACUCAAACACUACAGUGGAAGUGUGUUGAAUCAAGAGUAGAUAGUAAGCGCCUUUAUUAUGGUCGUUUCAUUCUGUCCCCGCUUAGAAAAGGUCAAGCAGACACCGUCGAUAUUGCCUUGCGAAGAGCUUUACUUGGAGAAAUAGAAGGAACAUGUAUCACACGUGCAAAAUUUGGGAGCGUGCCGCACGAGUAUUCUACAAUAGCAGGUAUUGAAGAAUCCGUACAAGAAAUUUUAUUCCGUGAUGACUCGUAUGCUUGCGACAAUAAUGACAAAUUUUUUUGA